AACCAACAACAACCUUUUUAUUUUUCAUUUUACUCUCAUCCUAAAGAGUAAAAUACUCCUUUUUCCACUGCUGAUAUGAUUAGCAGUGGUUUUUUUG
RNAcentral lists this antisense RNA (97 nucleotides) under Vagococcus lutrae LBD1. RNAcentral describes it as "Enterococcus sRNA 84". It matches the Rfam family "Enterococcus sRNA 84". From Rfam's summary of the family: Name 'Ref' stands for RNA in E. faecalis. Lineage: Bacteria; Bacillati; Bacillota; Bacilli; Lactobacillales; Enterococcaceae. The record is from Rfam by way of RNAcentral.